CCCCGGAGGAGCCAGGGUGCGGAAACCGGGCCUGGUGCUUUCCUCGCGGAGGCGGAGGCCGGGCUGCUGGGCCCGCGGCCCUCAACCGCCUCCUCAUUUCACAGAGGAAACCCCCGAGCCCCUCGUGUCCUGCGAUCCCUGCGAGCGGGGCCCUGCCGAGCCGGGGGGGAGCCCGGGGACCAGGCUGCACAGCAGGGCCCGACAGCAGCCCCCUGCCCCCUGUGCAAGGCCUGUGGCUGCAGGGGGGCUGCGCUUGGGGCAGGGCUCCCUGGGGGCCCCUCGGCGAGCCCCAGCCCCUUCGCAGAGGCUCCGCUAGCCGGGGUGAUCCGUGGCGUUGCUCUCUCUUUGCCCUCAGGUGUGAUGCCCCGGGGAGAGGACCUCGGCCCAGCUUUACAGAGCGGUAAAAUUGCAGGGCUAGAAACGCUGACAGCCAGCCUAAAAUGGAAGAAGGGAAAUGCGGCUGCAGCAGAGGCUCCAGGCAGAGCAGCCCGUGGCGGUCCCGCGAGCGCUCUUCCCCGGCCUGGCGCACGCUGAGGGUAGGUGCAGAAAUCGUGGCUUUACCAGCAGGGCAUCGCUGCCCUCUAGUGUCCCUGCCAUGCACUGCCGGGCUGCCGCCGCUGGACAGCGAGGGGACAAGUCACAGCAGAGGUCAGGACGAGGAACAGUCCGACUCCGCCAAGAAGAUGCGACUCUAGUAGCUGGGGCAUUGGCUGGCUCGCAGAGAGGAAGCUCGCUGUUC
This is a long non-coding RNA of Dromaius novaehollandiae (emu), 739 nucleotides long. RefSeq lists it as uncharacterized. The record is from RefSeq and is a predicted model, not a curated record. The transcript is spliced from 3 exons. Lineage: Eukaryota; Metazoa; Chordata; Aves; Casuariiformes; Dromaiidae.